RNAcentral lists this ribosomal RNA (732 nucleotides) under Curtobacterium sp. RNAcentral describes it as "bacterial SSU rRNA". It matches the Rfam family "Bacterial small subunit ribosomal RNA", at positions 105 to 848 of the family's 1533-position model. The record is from RNAcentral. Lineage: Bacteria; Bacillati; Actinomycetota; Actinomycetes; Micrococcales; Microbacteriaceae.
GGUGAGUAACACGUGAGUAACCUGCCCCUGACUCUGGGAUAAGCGUUGGAAACGACGUCUAAUACUGGAUAUGACUGCCGGCCGCAUGGUCUGGUGGUGGAAAGAUUUUUUGGUUGGGGAUGGACUCGCGGCCUAUCAGCUUGUUGGUGAGGUAAUGGCUCACCAAGGCGACGACGGGUAGCCGGCCUGAGAGGGUGACCGGCCACACUGGGACUGAGACACGGCCCAGACUCCUACGGGAGGCAGCAGUGGGGAAUAUUGCACAAUGGGCGAAAGCCUGAUGCAGCAACGCCGCGUGAGGGAUGACGGCCUUCGGGUUGUAAACCUCUUUUAGUAGGGAAGAAGCGAAAGUGACGGUACCUGCAGAAAAAGCACCGGCUAACUACGUGCCAGCAGCCGCGGUAAUACGUAGGGUGCAAGCGUUGUCCGGAAUUAUUGGGCGUAAAGAGCUCGUAGGCGGUUUGUCGCGUCUGCUGUGAAAUCCCGAGGCUCAACCUCGGGCUUGCAGUGGGUACGGGCAGACUAGAGUGCGGUAGGGGAGAUUGGAAUUCCUGGUGUAGCGGUGGAAUGCGCAGAUAUCAGGAGGAACACCGAUGGCGAAGGCAGAUCUCUGGGCCGUAACUGACGCUGAGGAGCGAAAGCGUGGGGAGCGAACAGGAUUAGAUACCCUGGUAGUCCACGCCGUAAACGUUGGGCGCUAGAUGUAGGGACCUUUCCACGGUUUCUGUGUCG